RNAcentral lists this transfer RNA (72 nucleotides) under Bos taurus (domestic cattle). It matches the Rfam family "tRNA". From Rfam's summary of the family: Transfer RNA (tRNA) molecules are approximately 80 nucleotides in length. The record is from Rfam by way of RNAcentral. Lineage: Eukaryota; Metazoa; Chordata; Mammalia; Artiodactyla; Bovidae. RNAcentral also lists the same sequence under 1 other name.
UCCCUGGUGGCUCAGCUGGUAAAGAAUCCGCCUGCAAUGCGGGAGACCUGGGUUCGAUCCCUGGGUCGGGAA